Long non-coding RNA from Pongo pygmaeus (Bornean orangutan), 479 nucleotides. RefSeq lists it as uncharacterized. Lineage: Eukaryota; Metazoa; Chordata; Mammalia; Primates; Hominidae. The transcript is spliced from 5 exons. The record is from RefSeq and is a predicted model, not a curated record.
UCGUCCUGCUACGCCUCUACCCCUGGAUAUUGCUCAGCUCUCCAAAUUGACUCAGCUCCAGGUAUUUUGCCUGGAAAUAAUCACCAUGCUGUUUGAACCAAUGUCUAUUCUCAAUAUUAUAACACAAAUUCUUGUCAUCAACUUACCUUAUUUUGAGACCUUACAGUAAGGAGCUCUCAAGAGUUUGGGGUUUUUGAGGUUUGCCAUGGUACAUCAAUAGAAUAUCAAAUGACAGGAUAAGACCUAGAAGACAAAUGUAAAAUUCCAAAAUGCAUGCUGUGGAUGAAUGCAGCAAUAUGAGAUGAGUACUAUUUGGGAUGGAAAUAGAAAACUACCCUGAUAUCUGACACAUUGAGUUUCCAGGAUGAAUCAGAAAGUAUUGGUUGUUGGGUUUUCUUAGCUUGCACUCUUCCAGACACCAGCAAAGACCCUCUGCUUAUGGACCUUAAAUUCUGGUGGAAGAAAGCAGACAAUCAACA